GUGAUAGUGUUGUCAUAUCAGUGAAAGUCAGAGUUGUCAAUUAUCAGUGAUUCCAUUAUGAAUAAUUUUAGUAACGCUGAAAUGGCUGGCAUGCACUUCAUUUAUGGAUUAGCAAAUGGAAAUGCAGAAGAAGCAUGGAGGAUAACAAAGUGGAUAAUUACUCUUGGCUGAUUUCUCAUCAUGGUGCUGAAUUGAAUUGAAUGAUGCCAGUAUCGAGUUCAGCUACGACAAAUCAUUUUGCUUCCCGAUACAAGCAAAAACCUAGUGUUUUCACAUUAUAAUGCAAUUUAUUAUUUUGGUCACGUUCUGGAAUAAGUCAUUGCUCCCGGAUGGUUGAAUGAAAUGAAUCAUUUGAGACGUACUACUUGCAAAUAUUCGCUUUUUGACAAAGAGUGCACAGAAAAGUGAGUCUCUCAACCGGCCUUACUACUGAAAGAAUCGGAAAGUUUUUCUAAAUGUAGCACUGGAUUUGAAAUUAUCCCACCUGAAAAGUUCAUCCAGAUAUUUUUGUGGUUCACUGGACAUUAGGCUGUUGGAUUCCGAGAUGUUGCAGACAGGUUCAAUGUUACAAUAAGUAAACUGCAUAUUAUAGAAGGAGUAUCAUACUUCAUUUCUGGUUUGUCAGAAAAAUUUAUCAGGUGGCCUACUGAUGAAAAAAAAUUAGAAAUUACUGAACAUUUCAAAACCAUGGGGUUUCCACGUGCUAAGGAAGUCAUAGAUGGCAGCUUCAUCAAAAUUGAUACCCCCUCUGAAGAUCCUGUAUCUUAUUAUUCUAUUCAUAACUUCUUCAAUGAACAUUUCUUUGCAUGUGCAAGCUGUAUGUGACCAUGAAAAAAGAAUCAGAUACAUACUCAUUGGAUUUCCUGGAUUAGUACAGGAUUCAAGCAUCAUCUCUUGAAGAAAAAUGUGGUGAUAAUUACAUUUUAGGAGACAGUGCCUAUCCAUGCAAGACAUUUAUUAAUACCAUUUGAAUUCAGAAAAAAAUUAUGUGUAACUGAGGAAGAGUAUAACAGAAAAUUAAGAGGUAAUUGAACACACAUUUAGUAUACUCAAAUAAAGAUUCAGGAUGUUGUAUCAUGUCAAAUUGACAAAAAUUGAAAACAUUUGCCACCUAAUUAGAGCUUGCUGUGUUUUAUAUAAUCUAACUAUUGAUGAGGAUAUCAGUUUGUAUUAGACAAGUGAAGCUAUUGUAAGAGAUAAUUUAGUAGCAGAUGAAGAAGAUGAAGAAACUAAUGAAGGUCAGAACAAACCAGGCCAUGCUUUCUGAAACUACAUAGCUAGUAUUUUAAAUGUUUAGAUUAUUUUUAAUUUUUUCAUGUAAAUUAAGUGUAAUGUAGAUU
This 1340-nucleotide long non-coding RNA is filed under the name Leptinotarsa decemlineata (Colorado potato beetle). Its description in RNAcentral is "uncharacterized LOC111503866, transcript variant X2". The record is from RNAcentral. Lineage: Eukaryota; Metazoa; Arthropoda; Insecta; Coleoptera; Chrysomelidae.